CACCUGAGCCUCCCCAGCCCUGCUCAACACCCCCUCCACCCCAUGCACGGCACCUAAACAUCCCCCAGCCCUGACCAACACCCACAUGCAGCGCUGAGCCUCCCCAUCACCGUGCAGAACCUCUCCCACAGUACUUCAUUGAUCAGCACUACAGACGCACACUGACCAACCCAGACAGAGACUCCACACACACCAAGCCUCAGGGCAUGUCUACAUUACAAACUUAAGUUGACCUAACAUAGGUUGACUUACAGUAAUUACUGCGGUUAUUCAUGUCCACAUUACCCUCCUGUCAGUGGUGCACGUCCUCGCCAGAGCUCUUCUGCCAACUGAAGUGGGGCAGUGCGGAGGCGGGCACCCAACUCAGAGAGCCCCAGGGGAUGUCUGAGGUGUGAGCCAGGGGGUUCACAGCAAGGAGCAGACAACUCUUUAUUGUUAAUUUCAGGGCUCCAGCAGGCAGCUGUGUGAGAUUGACAAGACUGACAGCCAACAACUGAUAUAAUAAGGCAGUAUCUACGGGGACACUACGCCAACAUAAUGAACCCGAUGCCUCUUGUGGACGUGGAGUUUCUGAGGACUUCCUGUCCAUUCUGAAUUCUUCCAUUGUGCAGCAUCACCCUUUCCCAUGGGCAGCAUCUCUUCUCCCUCAAACCGGGACCAGAUCAGAUUGGAUCAGACGCGUCCGAUUCGUACUCAGAUUUCUCUAUCAAGGUGACAGCUUCCUAUUUUGUUCAUAUCUAAAAUACAAUAAAAACUAGUUUAUUAGAUAUGUAAUUGGAAAGAAUAAAACCUAAGUGACUAGAUUAGAAUAUUGCAUUAAUGUCACUUCAGAAGAAAGGUACAAAUUAAGGAUUAAAGGCUCCCAAAAUCAUUUAAAAAAAAAAAACCUUGCAAGUUUGAAGAUCAGAUGUUUCCUAGUAUUGUGAUUUGAGAGCCAAACAUUGCAGCAGCAAUACAUCUAAACAAAAUCAAUAAUUCAAUUUCUUAACUGCUAUAAUAUUCCAAGCUAUCUAUGUUCACUGUGCUAGAAAUAGUGUAUGUUCAACUUUGACAGGAGUACCCUAAAAGGGUUUGGUUUUUUUUAAAUCACUUCUAUGACUCAACAAAAACGAGGAGUCCUUGUGGCACCUUAGAGACUAACAAAUUUAUUUGGGCAUAAGCUUUCAUUGGCUAGAACCCACUUCAUCAGAUGCAUGGAGUGGAAAAUAGAGAGGAAAAUAUUCCAGGAGCUGGUAUAAAUACAUGAAAGGAUGGGAGUUGCUUUAUCAAGUCUGAGGUCAGUCUAACGAGACAAUUAAUUUAACAGUAGGAUAGCAAAGAAGGAAAAAUAACUUUUGAAGUGGUAAUGAGAAUGGCCCAUUUCAGACAGUUGGCAAGAAGGUGUGAACAACAGUAGGAAGAAAUUAGGUUUAGGUUUUGUAAUGACCCAAUCACUCCCAGUCUUUAUUCAGGCCUAAUCUGAUGGAGUCCAGUUUGCAAAUUAAUUCCAGUUCUGCAGUUUCACAUUGGAGUCUGUUUUUGAAUUUUUUUUGUUGAAGAAUUGCCACUUUUAGGUUACUAAGUGAACAGAGAGACUGAAGUGUUCUACUGGUUUUUGAAUAUUAUGAUUCCUGAUGUCAGAUUUGUGUCCAUUUAUUCUUUUGCGUAGAGGCUGUCCAGUUUGGCCAACGUACAUGGCAGAAAGGCAUGGAUCAGUUGGCUCACACUGAA
Long non-coding RNA from Gopherus evgoodei (Goodes thornscrub tortoise), 1710 nucleotides. NCBI's taxonomy places the organism in Eukaryota, Metazoa, Chordata, Testudines, Testudinidae. The record is from Ensembl.